CAGGUUGUCUAAAAAUGACUUAUGACACUACUAACAUAUACUUUACUAAACAAUUUGUCAAAAAUUUCUAGAAAACACUUUAAAUCAAUUUUUCCGUUUUGAUUUAUUUAUUUUAUUUGUCUUGGCAUGGAUUUCCCUAAGACGGAAACCUUCUUUUUUACAUACAGGAUGGACUAGAUUUAAUGUCGAAACUGCAACCGGUGUAACUAAUGAUUCCAGAACAACACUGAUCAAUAGGGCGAUGGACGCUGAAAAUGCAACCGCGUCCCGUAUAUCUUUACAACCAGGAUAGUUUGUAAUAAAAAUUAAGCUAAAUAAUUGUAUGCUUUUUAAUUUAAAUAUACACCGCUGUUCAAAUC
This is a long non-coding RNA of Tribolium castaneum (red flour beetle), 359 nucleotides long. RefSeq lists it as uncharacterized. NCBI's taxonomy places the organism in Eukaryota, Metazoa, Arthropoda, Insecta, Coleoptera, Tenebrionidae. The transcript is spliced from 2 exons. The record is from RefSeq and is a predicted model, not a curated record.